CGGGGGCCUGGGGCCCCGCGCGGCCGGCUCGUCAGCUUUUCCCGCUCGCUUUCCCCGCGCGCCAGCCGAGGCCUUCCUCCUUUGGUGGGGGCUCCAGCUUAACCUAGACCAGAGGAGGCUUUUCUUUGAUGGUGGUGGGGUGAGGGGGAGGGGAGGGGGAGGUGAGGCACGAAAGUGAGGUGAGAAUUUCUCGACACUGGAAGCCGAAAUGCUGCUCCUAGGUUUUCGAUUUUCUUUACAGGGAGUAAAGGGUGGGCAGCGAGUUCAGGCGUAUUGAGUGAUGAUAAUAACUAACAUUUUUCUAAGCCCUCACUGUGUGCCAGGCACUGUGCGGAGCAACUUGUGUGUUUCUCUUUUACUCCUGAAAUGCCCCGAUGAGAUGGGCUUAAAGGAGAGACUUGAGCUGGAGUUUCCAAUUUAAUGGAACCAUAUAGUGCUUGUAGUGUGAAUAUAAUCCUUGGGAGUCUGCAAGGCUAUAUGAGGUAAUCCUAAAAUAAAGUGUCAUCUAUUUGAAACAUUUAAAAAUGCUAAUUGAGACCCUAGUUUGCAAGAUACUCAAUCCUAUAAACUGUCAAACUAGUAAGAAACUUGGUGAAUAAUACAUAUUUUUAUGAGAAGCUGCAGAAUCAUAACAAAGGAAAAAAAAUCACAAAUGAAGUAAAGAUCAAUUUGCUAUAUAAAUAUCAGUAUGUUACCCUUUCUUGGCUUUAUGGAGUGACCUGAGAUACAACAUUGAUGAUAAUGGUGUAAUCAAGCUGAUAGGCUUGUUUUGUUUUAAUUUGAAUUAUCUAGAUAAUCUCAAAGGGAAAGGAGAAGUUGUAGAUGUGGUCUGUAAGUUUUUCUUAACCUUUGAUAUUGUAACCUGAAGUAUUUUCAUCAUUUUGCAUGAGAAGAUUGAAUGUGGUAAGCAAUAUUUGAUAAAGUAUUAUUUAGAAAUUUUAAUGAAACUACUUAGUGUCAAAGGAUACAAUUAGAUUGAUGUUAUUAGUGUAGUUUCUUAGAGUUUGGUGAAACAAGUAAUAAAUGGUACAGGUAAUUUAAGAAUAAUGCAGUCAUGGACUAGUGAAGGAUAAACAUCUCUACAUCCUGCUUGUGCAAGAAUCAAACUCAAUCCAUUUUGCCCAUUCUUUUAAGAAAAUUGUGAUGCAAUUUCUCAUUUCAUCUUUAUGCUAUAGUUAAUUUUACAUACCUCUCUUUGCCUUUAUGUUUAUAAAGUUCAGGGUGAUUUUAUCUCCUCAAAUGAAAAAUUGGGUGAUCUCAUGCCAAAUACUUUGAAAGGGUUUUUAAAAGUAGUAAGUGACAGUGUUUGAAAACUUACUAUGUGCCAGGUGCCUUUUUAAAUAUUCCAGCACACUCACUUUAAGUCUUAAUUUUGAGAUGGCAGGCAUUAUUUUGUUGAAUAAAAACAUCUUGCUUGUUACUUUUUGCUUGUUUUCAUUUUUUGAUCUUGUUAUAAAAUAAACUAAGCAAUUUAGAAUUUUUUUAAGGUAGUAAAAAUUUCUGAUUUAGUUUAACUAAAAAUGUGAUAUUGUGUAUCUGUAUUGUCAAAGCUGUAUUGUCGCACUUGAACCUAAUACUGCCACGGUAAUAUGUUGUAAUAUUACAGGUGGAACACUCCCCCCCCCCCCCCCCACCCCGCCCCAAGUGGAACCCUCUUAAUUGAGUUUACUAGCUUGGGAAAGUUGGAAUGCAUGUUGAAAAUAUGUACCUUUGAUGUUGUUAUGUUCAGUUUAUAAAAAUUGAAUAUUGGGGAUAAUGAGUUAAUUCUUCAUAGGAUUUUUUUCCCCCAUAGCAUUUGUCUGAUUACAGUAAAUUUGAAUGUAUAAAAUCUCACUGGUCUGUGUGGGUUUGCUUUGUUUCUUAUAAUGUUUAUUCCUUUUAAAACCCAGGAAUUGCUGAAGUGAUCUUUUUGGUCUGUGAGUCAGUCUCAGCUAAAUGAUUCAGUCUUCUCCCCUGCUCCUUUCUCCCCUUAUACUUGAUCUAUCAGGUAGAAAAUAU
RNAcentral lists this long non-coding RNA (1998 nucleotides) under Cervus hanglu yarkandensis (Yarkand deer). Its description in RNAcentral is "lncRNA (ENSCHYG00000011071.1)". Lineage: Eukaryota; Metazoa; Chordata; Mammalia; Artiodactyla; Cervidae. The record is from RNAcentral.